Molecule: ribosomal RNA, 497 nt
Filed under: uncultured bacterium
Lineage: Bacteria
Description: partial 16S ribosomal RNA
Rfam family: Bacterial small subunit ribosomal RNA
Source: RNAcentral
GAUGAACGCUGGCGGCGUGCCUAAUACAUGCAAGUCGAGCGAACAGACGAGGAGCUUGCUCCUCUGACGUUAGCGGCGGACGGGUGAGUAACACGUGGAUAACCUACCUAUAAGACUGGGAUAACUUCGGGAAACCGGAGCUAAUACCGGAUAAUAUAUUGAACCGCAUGGUUCAAUAGUGAAAGACGGUUUUGCUGUCGCUUAUAGAUGGAUCCGCGCCGCAUUAGCUAGUUGGUAAGGUAACGGCUUACCAAGACAACGAUGCGUAGCCGACCUGAGAGGGUGAUCGGCCACACUGGAACUGAGACACGGUCCAGACUCCUACGGGAGGCAGCAGUAGGGAAUCUUCCGCAAUGGGCGAAAGCCUGACGGAGCAACGCCGCGUGAGUGAUGAAGGUCUUCGGAUCGUAAAACUCUGUUAUUAGGGAAGAACAAAUGUGUAAGUAACUAUGCACGUCUUGACGGUACCUAAUCAGAAAGCCACGGCUAACUACGUG